AAAUCACCAAAACGUCCCUUUGUAUGCUCCUACCAAUUCUUUGACAAUAAGUUUACAGUCGAGCAUCCACACCCAGAAAAAUGGCUUGGCUACGAUACUCCACUCGUGAAGACGUGUUGGUCAGGCAGUCAUCAGUGACAGAUGACACAACAGGUUCAAGUUUUCACCAAAUUGAAAAUGGGGAUUGGCCAACACGAAUAGAAAGAAUGGAUUUACCUUCAGAGAAGGAUGCCCAAACCCAAUGGGAAGACCCAUCUCUAAGUGAUCACAACUACAGCUCAGGUGAUCAUGUAAAGCUCACUACCUGUGAGGCAGGGAUACAGUGCCCAGCAGCACCGCUCUACAAAACCCUGCUGAGGAAUGAAGCACUCUGUUGACUGCAUACAGGCUUGUCUCUUGCUACCCUUUCUACCCUCCUGGUAGAACAUCUUCUACCCUUCUACAAAGGCAGCUUUCAAUUAGACCUGACAGACCAACUUCUGAUGACACUGAUGAAGCUCAGAUUGCUGCAGCAGUACCUAGCAGAAAGGUUUGGUGUUUUCCUAGGGUAUUGUCAGUUGAGUGAUUCGUUAUUGGAUUGACAUGAUGGAAGAGAGUCUGAGGGAGUACAUUCCAUGGUUGCCAAGGGAGAUCAUCCGUGCUACAAUGUCACAAUGUUUUAAGGACUACUACCAAGGACCAACCUGGAUUAUCGACUGCUCAGAAAUUGCUUUACAGAAUGCAAGAAUCUGGAUUCAAGGGGGGAGUCAUUCAACCAUUACUACACCCAGAACACUAUCAAGUACCUUGUGGUCGGUCUGGUGAUGUUAAUUUCUUCAGCAUAUGGAGGUAGAUGUAGCAACAAAUAUAUAACGUUGGAUUCUAGGUUCUUGGAGAACCUCUGUCCAGAUGAUGAGGUCAUGGUUGACCGGGGCUUCACAAUCCAUGAACUGGUGUAUGAGAGGAAGGUUAAAUGAACAAUUCCAGCCUUCACAAAAAGAGGCGCACAGCUGUCAGUGGAGGACACCACAUGUACAAGAUUGAUAGCCAACGUGAGGGUCCAUGUGGAACGCGUAAUUCAAAGGCUCAAACGGUUUAGAAUCAUCUCACAGUCAGUGCCAAUCGACCUCUCAUCGAAAAUGGACAAAAUACUUUGAAUCUGUGCUGCCCUGUGUAACCUGUGUGGUGAUAUCAUUCAUGAAGAUGUUGAAUCAACUGAUCAGUCAAAUGCAAUUCACAGGGUUAUUUUUCCAUUAUGAAUUAAAGUUGUCUAAAGUUACGUUAAUAUGUUAAUACAUUUCAAUUCAUUAUAUAACAACUCAACUGAAUUAUUUGUUUGACAUACUCAUUAAUAUUAAUAAAAAACAAAGCCAUAAAAAUAAUUUCUACAGUACUGUGACUGUUGAUGCAGUAUGUUAGGCUUUUUAAUUGAAUAUUGUAUAACUGUGGACCAGCUAGCUAACUAGAUUGCUAAUUUGCCGGUACGGUAUGAUUGGUUAGCUAGUUUCUUGCAUAUUCUGGCAAAGACCACUGCACUAAUAGGAAACUCUUAGGCAAUCAUUAUAAACAUUUUCUCUUUUUGUAUGUUGAAUAAGGCUUAAGUUGAGGAAACUGAACUUGAGCCUGCUUGAAACAUGGGUUUUGUUUUGGUUGACCAAGAGUCGGUAUAUCGCAGGUUGGUUCUUUGUAUGCACUGUAUGUUUGUGAUAAACAAAUUAUUCUACCUAUAUUAAUUAUACUGUAAUUACUGAUGCAGCAUUUGUGAUGUUUUUAGAUCAGUUGAUUGAGCCUUGCUAAUGGGAGUAGCUAAUUGGCUGAAAUGAACCUACACAAAGGACUGGAGUUGAGGAACACUUGUGAAUAACUCGACAGUGAGGCUCUGCUGAUGUUUCAAGAUAUUCAUUAUGUCUUUGUUUAUAGACUAAGAAGAGACGGAACUGUGGUUGUGCCAAGAAGGGCUGUAGGCAUGUGCAGGGACAAGGCCAUAAAAAAAGUUUGUCAUCAGGAACAUUGUUGAGGCUGCUGCCGUAGAUAUCUCAGAGGCUAGCGUGUUUGAAUGUGAGUAGAUUGUUGAAUGGUCUGAGGGCAACUAGUCAUGUGAUGCUAGCAUUGAAUGGCACUGGAGCAUGUAUUUUGUUUGAUUAGAUCCACCAGAUCCUUGGUUUAUUACACUUCAUACUCAAUCAUCCUUUCUUCUGGCAAGCCUGUUUUGCCCAAGCUCUAUGUGAAACUGCACUACUGCGUGAGCUGUGCCAUCCACUGUAAGGUGGUCAGGAACCAUUCCACAGAGGCCAGGAAGGACCGCACACCACCAUCCCGCUUCAGGCCCAGUUGUGAAUACUCAAGCACCAAGCUCUGCCAUGGCCAUUAAAUGGUGAUCAUGAAUGUCGAACUCAUUCCAUGGAGGGCUGAGUAUGUGCUAGUUUUCUUUAUUUCCUUUCAAUUUGUCAAAUUAAGACCUACACAACCAGGUGAGGGGGAGUUCCUAAAUAAUCAGUGACCGUAAUGGAUCAAUCAAGUACAAGGGAGGAGCGAAAACCCAUGGAAUGAGUUUGACACCUGUGGCCUGCACAAAUCCUCAUGUCUGGGAUAUCUGCUUGGAUUGAGAGAAUCCUCAGUCAAAUACAGAAACUGACAUUUCCAUUCUUGCUUUUCCUCUAACGUUGGCUGUUAUUGCAUGAUGUGAUUGUGGAAUACCGUUCUGAUGGAAUGUGUUCUCUUUCUAUAGGGUGGCCCACCCAGAGUUCCUCCACAGCCCAUGUAAAACAGAUUGAUUUGAAUAUAGAUUUUCACUUGCAAAACAUUUAUAUACAUCUUUAUAAAUAUGAAUGUCUUAUCAUUGUAGAAAUAUCAGCCAGUCAAGUGUAUUUAUUUGGAAUACUCUCCUUCAAUACAGUACAAAAUUUACAGUAGUUUAAUCUUGAUACACAAAUACUUAAUUACAUUAUGGUACAUGAAAAAAGGCUCUGCAGUUCAAGCGAAUCCACGCAAUUCACAGGGGCAGGAGUAAAGGUAACAGAGCAGAUAGUCAAGUCAAAGGGAACACAAACACAGUGCAA
Molecule: long non-coding RNA, 3038 nt
Organism: Oncorhynchus tshawytscha (Chinook salmon)
Lineage: Eukaryota; Metazoa; Chordata; Actinopteri; Salmoniformes; Salmonidae
Exons: 2
Source: RefSeq, a predicted model, not a curated record